Molecule: ribosomal RNA, 478 nt
Filed under: uncultured bacterium
Lineage: Bacteria
Description: partial 16S ribosomal RNA
Rfam family: Bacterial small subunit ribosomal RNA
Source: RNAcentral
GAUGAACGCUGGCGGCGUGCUUAACACAUGCAAGUCGAACGAGAAGUGGAGACGGAAACCUUCGGGCGGAAGACUUUAUUUCGAUUGGCGGACGGGGGAGUAACGCGUGGGUAACCUGCCUCAUACAGGGGGAUAACAGUUGGAAACGACUGUUAAUACUGCAUAAGACCACAGCACCGCAUGGUGCGGGGGUAAAAACUCCGGUGGUAUGAGAUGGAUCCGCGUUCGAUUAGCCAGUUGGCGGGGUAACGGCCCACCAAAGCGACGAUCGAUAGCCGAUCUGAGAGGAUGGCCGGACACAUUGGGACUGGGACACGGCCCGAACUCCUACGGGAGGCAGCAGUGGGGAAUAUUGCACAAUGGGGGAAACCCUGAUGCAGCGACGCCGCGUGAGUGAAGAAGUAUUUCGGUAUGUAAAGCUCUAUCAGCAGGGAAGAAAAUGACGGUACCUGAGUAAGAAGCCCCGGCUAACUACGUG